Molecule: ribosomal RNA, 273 nt
Filed under: uncultured Thermovirga sp.
Lineage: Bacteria; Thermotogati; Synergistota; Synergistia; Synergistales; Thermovirgaceae
Description: partial 16S ribosomal RNA
Rfam family: Bacterial small subunit ribosomal RNA
Source: RNAcentral
GUUGCCAUCACGGUCAAGCUGGGGACGUCUAAUGAAACUGCCUACGCAAGUAGUGAGGAAGGUGGGGAUGACGUCAAGUCAUCAUGGCCUUUAUGCCCAGGGCUACACACGUGCUACAAUGGCCGGCACAGACGGCAGCUUAGUGGCGACACUUGGCAAAUACCUCUAAAGCCGGUCCCAGUUCGGAUUGCAGUCUGCAACUCGACUGCAUGAAGCCGGAAUCGCUAGUAAUCGCAGAUCAGCCAAGCUGCGGUGAAUACGUUCCCGGGCCUU